UUCCGCAUGGACGAAAGUCUGACGGAGCACGCCGCGUGAGUGAUGAAGGUUUUCGGAUCGUAAAACUCUGUUGUUAGGGAAGAACAAGUAUCGUUCGAAUAGGGCGGUACCUUGACGGUACCUAACCAGAAAGCCACGGCUAACUACGUGCCAGCAGCCGCGGUAAUACGUAGGUGGCAAGCGUUGUCCGGAAUUAUUGGGCGUAAAGCGCGCGCAGGCGGUUUCUUAAGUCUGAUGUGAAAUCUUGCGGCUCAACCGCAAGCGGCCAUUGGAAACUGGGAGACUUGAGUGCAGAAGAGGAGAGUGGAAUUCCACGUGUAGCGGUGAAAUGCGUAGAGAUGUGGAGGAACACCAGUGGCGAAGGCGACUCUCUGGUCUGUAACUGACGCUGAGGCGCGAAAGCGUGGGGAGCGAACAGGAUUAGAUACCCUGGUAGUCCACGCCGUAAACGAUGAGUGCUAAGUGUUAGAGGGUUUCCGCCCUUUAGUGCUGCAGCUAACGCAUUAAGCACUCCGCCUGGGGAGUACGGCCGCAAGGCUGAAACUCAAAGGAAUUGACGGGGGCCCGCACAAGCGGUGGAGCAUGUGGUUUAAUUCGAAGCAACGCGAAGAACCUUACCAGGUCUUGACAUCCUCUUGACCUCCCUAGAGAUAGGGAUUUCCCUUC
RNAcentral lists this ribosomal RNA (666 nucleotides) under Heyndrickxia oleronia. Its description in RNAcentral is "bacterial SSU rRNA". It matches the Rfam family "Bacterial small subunit ribosomal RNA", at positions 364 to 1021 of the family's 1533-position model. Lineage: Bacteria; Bacillati; Bacillota; Bacilli; Caryophanales; Bacillaceae. The record is from RNAcentral.